Molecule: ribosomal RNA, 331 nt
Filed under: uncultured Butyrivibrio sp.
Lineage: Bacteria; Bacillati; Bacillota; Clostridia; Lachnospirales; Lachnospiraceae
Description: partial 16S ribosomal RNA
Source: RNAcentral
GGAGUUUGGGCCGUGUCUCAGUCCCAAUGUGGCCGGUCACCCUCUCAGGUCGGCUACUGAUCGUCGGUUUGGUGGGCCGUUACCCCGCCAACUGCCUAAUCAGACGCGGGGCCAUCCCAUUCCACCGGAGUUUUUCACACUGUACCAUGCGGUACCGUGCGCUUAUGCGGUAUUAACAGUCGUUUCCAACUGGUAUCCCCCGGAAUGGGGCAGGUUCCCCACGCGUUACUCACCCGUCCGCCACUAAGAUUUAACAAGAUUCUGCCGAAGCUUCAUCAGCGUUAAAUCUCCGUUCGACUUGCAUGUGUUAGGCACGCCGCCAGCGUUCAUC